This 683-nucleotide ribosomal RNA is filed under the name uncultured fungus. Its description in RNAcentral is "eukaryotic LSU rRNA". The stretch from base 219 to 373 matches the Rfam family "5.8S ribosomal RNA". The record is from RNAcentral. Lineage: Eukaryota; Fungi.
UACAAGGGGGAGAAGGAAAGGGGAAGACGAAGGGGGGAAAUGACUGUCGCUGGGGGGUUUCCCUGUGCACGUCAUUCUUCUUUGUUUGACCUGCUCCUCUCUUUCCUUCACCACACACACACCUUGUGCACCUGUUGUAGGUCCUUGAUAAGAGGAUCUAUGUUUUCUCACAUCACACCUUAUCGUAUGUCCAUAGAAUGUAUGGGAAAAUGAUAUACAACUUUCAGCAACGGAUCUCUUGGCUCUCGCAUCGAUGAAGAACGCAGCGAAUUGCGAUAAGUAAUGUGAAUUGCAGAUUUUCAGUGAAUCAUCGAAUCUUUGAACGCAUCUUGCGCUCCUUGGUAUUCCGAGGAGCAUGCCUGUUUGAGUGUCAUCGAAUUCUCAACCAUGUCUUGAUUUAUUUCAAGGGCCAUGGCUUGGAGGUUGGGGGUUGCUGGCGGCCGGAUCUGGCUGUUGGCUCUCCUGAAAUGCAUUAGCAAAAGGGCGCGAAUGUCUUUCAGCGUGCACGGCCUUCGACGUGAUAAUGAUCGUCGUGGCUGGAGCGCCUGGAUGUUGACGGGGGGAGAGAAAUCGAUCACCCCUUCCCUUGUGCUUCUAAUCCGUAUGCUAGUCAGUUUCUGGCUAGCUUUCUUGCGACUUGACCUCAAAUCAGGUAGGACUACCCGCUGAACUUAAGCAUAUCA